Molecule: ribosomal RNA, 246 nt
Filed under: uncultured Lactobacillus sp.
Lineage: Bacteria; Bacillati; Bacillota; Bacilli; Lactobacillales; Lactobacillaceae
Description: partial 16S ribosomal RNA
Rfam family: Bacterial small subunit ribosomal RNA
Source: RNAcentral
CGUGGGUAACCUGCCCAAGAGAUCGGGAUAACACCUGGAAACAGAUGCUAAUACCGGAUAACAACAGAUGAUGCCUAUCAACUGUUUAAAAGAUGGUUCUGCUAUCACUCUUGGAUGGACCUGCGGUGUAUUAGCUAGUUGGUAGGGUAACGGCCUACCAAGGCGAUGAUGCAUAGCCGAGUUGAGAGACUGAUCGGCCACAUUGGGACUGAGACACGGCCCAAACUCCUACGGGAGACAGCAGCU